GACUGAGCUGGGGAGGGGAGGGCCGGCCCGCGCAGACCAGGGGCCCACCGGGGUGCGGGGAGUGGGGGGUGGUGCCCCUGAACUUGGCCGCCCCGGAGGCUUGUGGUCUUUCCACCGCAGGCUGGGCCGGGGAGGCGCCGGGCGGGCGGCUGUUUCUCCUGGAAGGGCCAGCAGCCCGGUCGCCCGCCGGGGCCCUCGCCGGCCCCUCCCCGAGACCUCGAACGUUCCAGAGCCCGGGGAACCCUCACAUCAGCUAGAUUGCCUCACAGCCUCUCAGAUGAACCGGAGGACCAUAUCUUUGCAGUAUCUUCUCCAGGAGCCAUUGCAGGGUUUCUGGCAGAAGAGUGACAUUAUGUGACAUAUUUAAAAUAACCCUUCUGGCUGCUGUGUUGGUAAUGAAUCAAAGAUGCAAGGAUGGAAGCAAGGAAGUCUGCUAAAAGAGUCAGACUGGAACUUACACCAUCAGCUCUCCUGGGUCUGGACUCCUCAGCCUCUAUAACUGCACGAGCCAAUUCCAUAUAAUAAAUCUCUUUAUAUAUAUCUCUA
Molecule: long non-coding RNA, 546 nt
Organism: Lagenorhynchus albirostris (white-beaked dolphin)
Lineage: Eukaryota; Metazoa; Chordata; Mammalia; Artiodactyla; Delphinidae
Exons: 4
Source: RefSeq, a predicted model, not a curated record